RNAcentral lists this ribosomal RNA (400 nucleotides) under uncultured bacterium. Its description in RNAcentral is "bacterial SSU rRNA". It matches the Rfam family "Bacterial small subunit ribosomal RNA", at positions 359 to 776 of the family's 1533-position model. The record is from RNAcentral.
GAAUAUUGCCCAAUGGAGGAAACUCUGAGGCAGCAACGCCGCGUGAACGAUGACGGCCUUCGGGUUGUAAAGUUCUUUUCUCAGGGACGAUGAUGACGGUACCUGAGGAAUAAGUCCCGGCUAACUACGUGCCAGCAGCCGCGGUAAAACGUAGGGGACGAGCGUUCUCCGGAUUUACUGGGCGUAAAGCGCCCGUAGGCGGCUUUAUAAGUUGGACGUGAAAGCUCCCGGCUUAACUGGGAGAGGCCGUUCAAAACUGUAGGGCUAGAGUGAGGCAGAGGAGCGCGGAAUUCCCGGUGUAGUGGUGGAAUGCGUAGAUAUCGGGAGGAACACCAGUGGCGAAAGCGGCGCUCUGGGCCUAAACUGACGCUGAGGGGCGAAAGCGUGGGGAGCGAACGGG